Molecule: long non-coding RNA, 311 nt
Filed under: Anser brachyrhynchus (Pink-footed goose)
Lineage: Eukaryota; Metazoa; Chordata; Aves; Anseriformes; Anatidae
Description: lncRNA (ENSABRG00000021804.1)
Source: RNAcentral
CACAGAUGAACUGUAGCCACUCUCAUUCAUCACUCAGCUCAAGAGUGCUGCAUGUGUAAAAAGAUUGGCCUAGAAAGCUGGAGCUGAACCAUGACGAUGGAUAUAUGUCCCAGGACUGUUAAUUCCAAGAGUGCUAUGACGGGGGAAGCAUAUACUUCUCUUAAUUUUGUUAUACUAAGGACCUACAUGAUUUCAGGCCAUCUCCAUAUGCCUCAAGCUUGAUCCUUGUACUGUUCCAUUAUUCAUUUUUUUUCUAUCUUCAGAGUGCCAAAUUAAAAUAAUUUCUCCAAUAAAUUAAAAUAAUUUCUUCA